GUCUACAGCCAUACCACCCUGAAUGCGCCUGAUCUCGGCUGAUCUCGGAAGCUAAGCAGGGUUGGGCCUGGUUAGUACUUGGAUGGGAGACAACCAUAGAUUCACAGGUAGAGAUC
This 116-nucleotide ribosomal RNA is filed under the name Heterocephalus glaber (naked mole-rat). The record is from RNAcentral. Lineage: Eukaryota; Metazoa; Chordata; Mammalia; Rodentia; Bathyergidae.